RNAcentral lists this ribosomal RNA (253 nucleotides) under uncultured bacterium. RNAcentral describes it as "partial 16S ribosomal RNA". It matches the Rfam family "Bacterial small subunit ribosomal RNA", at positions 524 to 776 of the family's 1533-position model. The record is from RNAcentral.
UACGGAGGGGGCUAGCGUUGUUCGGAAUUACUGGGCGUAAAGCGCGCGUAGGCGGACCUGCAAGUCGGGGGUGAAAGCCCGAGGCUCAACCUCGGAACUGGCUUCGAUACUGCGGGUCUCGAGUCCGGGAGAGGUGAGUGGAAUUCCUAGUGUAGAGGUGAAAUUCGUAGAUAUUAGGAAGAACACCAGUGGCGAAGGCGGCUCACUGGCCCGGUACUGACGCUGAGGCGCGAAAGCGUGGGGAGCAAACAGG